Non-coding RNA from Danio rerio (zebrafish), 1694 nucleotides. NCBI's taxonomy places the organism in Eukaryota, Metazoa, Chordata, Actinopteri, Cypriniformes, Danionidae. The record is from RefSeq and is a predicted model, not a curated record.
UGGAGAGUAACGCGACUCACCUCAGUGAAGAUACACACGUGUGUCUGUUGUGUUUCUGCUGCACAUCUUUCCUCUUUCUGACGCUCCUCCACACACUCCUCCACAUCCAGGCGGAUUCACAGCUCCAGUAAAGCUCACACACAGGUCAGCAGUCAAACAUCAGUUCCAGCAGGUGUUCAGACAGGAGAUCUGUGGCUCUGUGGUAAGAGCGCUGCCCCACGGCUUCAGGGGUUGCUGGUAUCGGUCCCAGCCAGAACUCUGCGAUAUGUGUGAAUGGCGGCAUCAGCGAGCUGCUCUUUUAGCCUGAACACCUUUGACAACAGCGCCACAGAUCAUCACAGUUACACCGUUUUACUGGCGUCAAGUUGAGCUCCAGCAGAUGACAGCUCAGUGACAGACUCAUAAUGUCAGUCAACAGCACAUAUUACAGCCCGACAGCGAAGAAAAGCGACCCAGAGAGCAGAAAUGGAGAGUAACGCGACUCACCUCAGUGAAGAUACACACGUGUGUCUGUUGUGUUUCUGCUGCACAUCUUUCCUCUUUCUGACGCUCCUCCACACACUCCUCCACAUCCAGGCGGAUUCACAGCUCCAGUAAAGCUCACACACAGGUCAGCAGUCAAACAUCAGUUCCAGCAGGUGUUCAGACAGGAGAUCUGUGGCUCUGUGGUAAGAGCGCUGCCCCACGGCUUCAGGGGUUGCUGGUAUCGGUCCCAGCCAGAACUCUGCGAUAUGUGUGAAUGGAGAGACUUUCUGUGUAGCAGCAGCUGCCAGUCUGGAUGUAGAUUACACCAGUAUUCAACCAGUUUCCGAUUAGACGGCUGAGAGUACAAGAAACAGCCUUGAGGAUGAAACAGGUCGUUCCCUGUAGAGCGGCACGGCGGCAUCAGCGAGCUGCUCUUUUAGCCUGAACACCUUUGACAACAGCGCCACAGAUCAUCACAGUCAACAGCACAUAUUACAGCCCGACAGUGAAGAAAAGCGACACAAAGUGCAGAAAUGGAGAGUAACGCGACUCACCUCAGUGAAGAUACACACGUGUGUCUGUUGUGUUUCUGCUGCACAUCUUUCCUCUUUCUGACGCUCCUCCACACACUCCUCCACAUCCAGGCGGAUUCACAGCUCCAGUAAAGGUAUUUAUGAGCUCAUAUUUCCAGUAGAGAGUCCAGAAAGUGUGUUUGUUGUGCUGCUGCUCUGUCGCGUGUAUGUUGGGGGAGGGACUUUCUGUAGAAAGCAUCUGAUUGGCCAGAUUUGGUGUAGAGUCCUCAAUACAGUAUGAGGAGACUUUAGAGGUAAAUGAUGAUAUUUACAGUGUUUAAUUGUGUUUAGUGACAUUUAAAGCCCCACAAGCAGCUGUAAGAUCAUUUAAAAUAUGGUUGAUGUGUUUGACUGAAGAAUAAGCAGGUUUUUCACAUUUUGAACAAUGAAAUAAAAUAAUAUAUUAGCAUAUGAUGUAGUUUGAAUGUAUUUUGAAUAAUUUACAUUUGAAAUUAAUUAUUUGUGUUUAUUUAGUUUUUUUUUUCAAAAUGUGUAAAUGUGGUCAUCCUUACACUGGAGAAAGAAGUGUGUGUUUGUGUGUGUGCUGAUGGUGUAGUGGUCAGAGCACACAGCCUGAGAUGUGAAGUUCUCACAGUAUACCUGGGUUCAAAUCUGAGUCCUGUUACUGCUCUUUACUGCUGAUCUAAAUACAAAAAA